This 375-nucleotide unclassified non-coding RNA is filed under the name uncultured fungus. RNAcentral describes it as "sequence contains ITS1". Lineage: Eukaryota; Fungi. The record is from RNAcentral.
UUAACUUAUUUGUAUAUUACUCAGACAACAUAAAAAUCCAGAGUUUAGGGUCCUCUGGCAGGCGCGGACCAGCCUAAGCCAGUGGUCAUAAGACGGGCCUGCCAAAGCAACAAAGGUAAUGUAAACAAAGGGUGGGGGAGAUCUACCCCGAAGGGCAAUUUCUCUGUAAUGAUCCUUCCGCAGCGGAAAUAUAGCGGCAAUUUCUAGCAGCCUCCCGAUCAUAUCUUAACCCUGCUGGGCCACCUCCAUUUGACCUGUGAGCCUAUUGCUAGGCUGCUGGUAUUACAAAUGUAAAUCCCAGCACAGUGGAGGUGUUGCCUGCUAAUACAGACUUUCUAUUCUGGCGAACCUGGAAGAAAUGUUCACCUACGGAAA